CCUGAGAAACCCAAAAGAUCGAAUGGGGAGAUUCAUCGUCAGCGAUUUCGGCACGCGCGCGGAUUGCGAUGCCGGAGACUUCGGUUUCCGAGCACGCGUUCGCACGUUUUACAUUGCCUUAAACGUCGGCGUGCACUUCUCCCCUAGUAGGACGUCGCGACCCGUUGGGUGUCGGUCUACGGCCCGGGCGGUAGCCUGUCUCGUGUACGCUUCACGGCGUUACGCGGUUCAGACCCCCGGUUGCCUGACCGGCUGCUCGGCGGUACGCGCACGGUAUCUGGCCGCAAAUAUUCGAACUGCGUCCGGCCCGUCGCAAGCGAGGCAAGUGUUUCCCGGCUGUACGGAUCUAAUGCCGUCACCGGGCCUUGCCAGCUGUUGGUUGACGGUGUCCUGGGACAGGCCAAUGCAAUUAUGAUACCGGUCGGCGACGCUACUGCUUUGGGUACUUUCAGGACCCGUCUUGAAACACGGACCAAGGAGUCUAACAUGUGCGCGAGUCAUUGGGUAUUAUUAAGCCUAAAGGCGCAAUGAAAGUGAAGGUCGGCCUUGCGCCGACCGAGGGAGGAUGGGCCGCGUCACGAUGCGGUCCCGCACUCCCGGGGCGUCUCGUUCUCAUUGCGAGAAGAGGCGCACCCAGAGC
This 640-nucleotide ribosomal RNA is filed under the name Hadrocryptus sp. NL392. RNAcentral's name for it is "eukaryotic LSU rRNA". It matches the Rfam family "Eukaryotic large subunit ribosomal RNA", at positions 420 to 801 of the family's 3401-position model. The record is from RNAcentral. Lineage: Eukaryota; Metazoa; Arthropoda; Insecta; Hymenoptera; Ichneumonidae.